Molecule: ribosomal RNA, 480 nt
Filed under: Candidatus Mycoplasma turicense
Lineage: Bacteria; Bacillati; Mycoplasmatota; Mollicutes; Mycoplasmatales; Mycoplasmataceae
Description: bacterial SSU rRNA
Rfam family: Bacterial small subunit ribosomal RNA
Source: RNAcentral
CACAGACAGAAAGGAGAUUUAAAGGUGCAAACCGCCGAGGGAUUGGAAUAUGUCCUAUUAGCUAGUUGGCGGGAUAAAAGCCCACCAAGGCAAUGAUAGGUAGCUGGUCUAAGAGGAUGAACAGCCACAAUGGGAUUGAGAUACGGCCCAUAUUCCUACGGGAAGCAGCAGUAGGGAAUCUUCCACAAUGGACGAAAGUCUGAUGGAGCAAUGCCAUGUGAACGACGAAGGCCAGACAGGUCGUAAAGUUCUUUUAGAGGGGAAAAAUCUGAUGGUACCCUCUGAAUAAGUGACAGCAAACUAUGUGCCAGCAGCUGCGGUAAUACAUAGGUCGCGAGCGUUAUUCGGAUUUAUUGGGCGUAAAGCAAGCGCAGGCGGAUGAAUAAGUUCUGCAUUAAAAGCAGCUGCUUAACAGUUGUUUGUGCCGAAUACUAUUCAUCUAGAAUGUGGUAGAAAGUUUUGGAAUUAACAAUGGAGCGA